RNAcentral lists this ribosomal RNA (459 nucleotides) under uncultured bacterium. RNAcentral's name for it is "partial 16S ribosomal RNA". It matches the Rfam family "Bacterial small subunit ribosomal RNA", at positions 338 to 795 of the family's 1533-position model. The record is from RNAcentral.
CCUACGGGUGGCAGCAGUGAGGAAUAUUGGUCAAUGGCCGGAAGGCUGAACCAGCCAAGUCGCGUGAGGGACGACUGCCCUAUGGGUUGUAAACCUCUUUUAUAAGGGAAGAAUAAAUGCUACGUGUAGCAUGAUGCCUGUACCUUAUGAAUAAGCAUCGCCUAACUCCGUGCCAGCAGCCGCGGUAAUACGGAGGAUGCGAGCGUUAUCCGGAUUUAUUGGGUUUAAAGGGUGCGCAGGCGGAGGCACAAGUCAGCGGUAAAAUCGCGGGGCUCAACCCCGCUCCGCCGUUGAAACUGUGUCCCUUGAGUGCGCGAAGGGUAGGCGGAAUGCGUGGUGUAGCGGUGAAAUGCAUAGAUAUCACGCAGAACUCCGAUCGCGAAGGCAGCCUACCGGCGCGCAACUGACGCUCAUGCACGAAAGCGUGGGUAUCGAACAGGAUUAGAUACCCUUGUAGUC